This 390-nucleotide ribosomal RNA is filed under the name uncultured bacterium. Its description in RNAcentral is "bacterial SSU rRNA". It matches the Rfam family "Bacterial small subunit ribosomal RNA", at positions 29 to 421 of the family's 1533-position model. The record is from RNAcentral.
AUUGAACGCUGGCGGCAUGCCUUACACAUGCAAGUCGAACGGUAACGCGGGGCAACCUGGCGACGAGUGGCGAACGGGUGAGUAAUGCAUCGGAACGUGCCCAGUAGUGGGGGAUAGCCCGGCGAAAGCCGGAUUAAUACCGCAUACGACCUACGGGUGAAAGGGGGGGAUCGCAAGACCUCUCGCUAUUGGAGCGGCCGAUGUCAGAUUAGGUAGUUGGUGGGGUAAAGGCCUACCAAGCCUACGAUCUGUAGCUGGUCUGAGAGGACGACCAGCCACACUGGGACUGAGACACGGCCCAGACUCCUACGGGAGGCAGCAGUGGGGAAUUUUGGACAAUGGGGCGCAAGCCUGAUCCAGCCAUGCCGCGUGCGGGAAGAAGGCCUGUGU